UACGGAGGGUGCAAGCGUUAUCCGGAUUCACUGGGUUUAAAGGGUGCGUAGGAGGGCAGGUAAGUCAGUGGUGAAAUCUCCGAGCUUAACUAGGAAACUGCCGUUGAUACUAUCUGUCUUGAAUACCGUGGAGGUGAGCGGAAUAUGUCAUGUAGCGGUGAAAUGCUUAGAUAUGACAUAGAACACCAAUUGCGAAGGCAGCUCACUACACGAGCAUUGACGCUGAGGCACGAAAGCGUGGGGAUCAAACAGG
RNAcentral lists this ribosomal RNA (253 nucleotides) under uncultured bacterium. RNAcentral describes it as "partial 16S ribosomal RNA". It matches the Rfam family "Bacterial small subunit ribosomal RNA", at positions 524 to 776 of the family's 1533-position model. The record is from RNAcentral.